UGCGCAGGCGGUUAUAUAAGACGGAUGUGAAAUCCCCGGGCUCAACCUGGGACCUGCAUUUGUGACUGUAUAGCUAGAGUACGGUAGAGGGGGAUGGAAUUCCGCGUGUAGCAGUGAAAUGCGUAGAUAUGCGGAGGAACACCGAUGGCGAAGGCAAUCCCCUGGACCUGUACUGACGCUCAUGCACGAAAGCGUGGGGAGCAAACAGGAUUAGAUACCCUGGUAGUCCACGCCCUAAACGAUGUCAACUGGUUGUUGGGUCUUCACUGACUCAGUAACGAAGCUAACGCGUGAAGUUGACCGCCUGGGGAGUACGGCCGCAAGGUUGAA
This 330-nucleotide ribosomal RNA is filed under the name uncultured bacterium. Its description in RNAcentral is "bacterial SSU rRNA". It matches the Rfam family "Bacterial small subunit ribosomal RNA", at positions 568 to 898 of the family's 1533-position model. The record is from RNAcentral.